This 372-nucleotide ribosomal RNA is filed under the name uncultured eukaryote. Its description in RNAcentral is "partial 18S ribosomal RNA". It matches the Rfam family "Eukaryotic small subunit ribosomal RNA", at positions 592 to 976 of the family's 1831-position model. The record is from RNAcentral.
CAAUAGCGUAUAUUAAAGUUGUUGCAGUUAAAAAGCUCGUAGUUGGAUUUCUGGGAGGGUGCCGCCGUCCGGCGUGUCCGUGUGCAGUGGCGCCCUUCCAUCCUUCUGUUAGCGUCUCUUGGCAUUCAUUUGCUGGUGGCGGGCUCAGAUAUUUUACCUUGAGAAAAUUAGAGUGUUUCAGGCAGGCUAGGCCGGAAUACAUUAGCAUGGAAUAAUGGAAUAGGACUACGGUCUCUUUGUUGGUUUGAGGGACUGCAGUAAUGAUUAAUAGGGAUAGUUGGGGGCAUUAGUAUUUAAUUGUCAGAGGUGGAAUUCUCAGAUUUGUUAAAGACUGACUUAUGCGAAAGCAUUUGCCAAGGAUGUUUUCAUUAA